UCUGGUAUGUUUGUGUUUUAGGCCACGACCGGCGUUUUGGAUUUUUUCUGAACCGUAGAAUGCUCUGUUUAUGGGAGUAGGACUUGGAGAACACUACAGCCAGUCAUCUUCACUGGUCAGAGUAUAGUUUGUAGUUGUCUCUGGUCAGAUGGAUAAAUGGAUGCUCUUCAUUUUCGUUACACUCUUCUAUGUGGUGUCCACGAGAAUGAAUGCAUGAACGAACAAUAGUAGAAUGUGUACUGGUAUCUGAGAGGUAUGUUUUUCUGAGAUGGGUCUGCCAGAGAUGAGGAAAUAAUGUCGGUGGUGACCACCACCACAAGUUCACAACAAAAAAGUGAGACACAAAGCGUAACAGUAAAAUAACUAUGACAAGUUGUUUAGAUACCGCAAGCAUAUAAAAGGUUACGGAAAGUCUCUGUUUACAAACAAACACAAAAUGCGCGCAACAUCUGUUUUUCAGUCAAAGAAAAUCGGAUUCAUUUCGGAAACCGGUACUUUCAAGUUGCAUUCGCGAAACUUCUUUUAAUCUACUUCAAAGUAAAGAUAUUUAUAUGAAACCUCAACUAUUUAUUAUUGCCUGUGAGUGACCAAUUUGAAAAAACCAUUUUCAGAAUGUGGCACGUAUGGAUAGGUGUGAGGCCACCCACCCGCCUGACUUUGGAGACCCAGUUGCCUGUCAUGCAACUUCAAAGCCCAACACGAAUUAAGGCAUUAUCUCCUAGGCAAUGACCAGAGGGGCAUAGUUUUUGCCUAGCAAAUUGAUAGCUCCACGUUUUGCAAUAUGAAAGUCGACCUCCACCAGGAUUAUGUUCAGUUGAAAAGAGGAUGUGGAUAUUAAUGCCACUAUGGACAUACAUCUCUAAGCCAGAAAUCAGCUUGUUGUGCGCUCUAAAUCGUGUUUUCUGGGUUUCACUUUUUCCCAAAAUUUACUGCUAUUGUCACGUUCAUAAAGUUUAAAAGUAUCUAAAAUUUUCAUCAUGAGAUUUUUUAUAUAAAACCAAAAAAUUAACAUACAGCAAAUAAUUAAUUUGGACUUUUUGUUUGCGCGAUAAUAAAUAAUUGAUUUGAUGUAUCAUGUCAUCC
This is a long non-coding RNA of Stomoxys calcitrans (stable fly), 1083 nucleotides long. RefSeq lists it as uncharacterized. The record is from RefSeq and is a predicted model, not a curated record. Lineage: Eukaryota; Metazoa; Arthropoda; Insecta; Diptera; Muscidae. The transcript has 3 exons.